RNAcentral lists this transfer RNA (73 nucleotides) under Zootermopsis nevadensis. It matches the Rfam family "tRNA". From Rfam's summary of the family: Transfer RNA (tRNA) molecules are approximately 80 nucleotides in length. The record is from Rfam by way of RNAcentral. Lineage: Eukaryota; Metazoa; Arthropoda; Insecta; Blattodea; Termopsidae.
GCUACGGUGGUCUAGCGGUUAGAACGCUGGCCUUGUAAUCCUGGGGUCUCGGGUUCGAUUCCUGGCGGUGCCC